AAACAAACACAGAUCCAACCUUUAGGUGGUACCCCAAAGCUCCCUGGUAUUUCAAAGACCUCAGUGAAUGACAAUAGCUAAAACUCAAGCAAAACAAAGAGAAAUCCCUCUGCCCUACUGUAAUAAUUGCAGCCUAGAUGACAUCCCAGACUGGGGGAGUGAGGUUCAGAGCAAUCUGGCAGACCUUCAAGUCCCAAGCAUCUGUCUGCAACUGACCAGCCAUAUUCUAUCCUCAGAAGAUCAACAAAAGAUCCUUCAUUAAGGUGAAGAGACAUUGUGAGCUGACAGAGCUUUGGCUCUUGAUCACUAGCACAUCACGAGACCGAUUUAACAAACUGCCCUGCUUACCAACAGCAUUUGAUGACUUUGUCCCAUCUUUGGACUGCAAGUUUGCCUCCAGUCUCCAUGGGUACUGUGGAUACUACCAGCAUAGAUACUGCAGUUGUGAAAAGGAUGUUGAAUAGAUUACAGAAGGAAUAGAGAGUGAAAUGUAUU
Long non-coding RNA from Caretta caretta (loggerhead turtle), 495 nucleotides. RefSeq lists it as uncharacterized. NCBI's taxonomy places the organism in Eukaryota, Metazoa, Chordata, Testudines, Cheloniidae. The record is from RefSeq and is a predicted model, not a curated record.